CGUAGGUGGCAAGCGUUGUCCGGAUUUAUUGGGUUUAAAGGGUGCGUAGGCGGUCUGUUAAGUCAGUGGUGAAAUAUGGCAGCUUAACUGUCAGGGUGCCAUUGAUACUGAUGGACUUGAGUGAAGUCGAAGUAGGCGGAAUUGACGGUGUAGCGGUGAAAUGCUUAGAUAUCGUCAAGAACACCGAUAGUGAAGACAGCUUACUAGGCUUAUACUGACGCUGAGGCACGAAAGUGUGGGGAUCAAACAGGAUUAGAUACCCUGGUAGUCCACACUGUAAACGUUGAUGACUCGCUGUUGGCGAUAUACAGCCAGCGGCCAAGCGCAAGCGAUAAGUCAUCCACCUGGGGAGUACGCCGGCAACGGUG
Molecule: ribosomal RNA, 368 nt
Filed under: uncultured organism
Description: bacterial SSU rRNA
Rfam family: Bacterial small subunit ribosomal RNA
Source: RNAcentral